Non-coding RNA from Danio rerio (zebrafish), 785 nucleotides. Lineage: Eukaryota; Metazoa; Chordata; Actinopteri; Cypriniformes; Danionidae. The record is from RefSeq and is a predicted model, not a curated record.
CUUUACAAGUAUUACUUUACUUUUCUUGAUGUUUUCACUGUGUAUUAUUUUCUGCUUUGUUUUAGUAAUGUUCUUCAUCCAUUGGUGUACGCUAUCAUCUGCUUCCUCGCUGCUGUCAUUCUCAUUCUCCUAAUAAUUCUGUAUAAAAUCAUCUCCAUGCAAAAUCGCGUCAAAAAAGACAAUAUCCACAUGGCCAGCGACACAGGAGAAUCGACAUCUUUACAUAAUGCUUUGUGUACAAGUCUUGCUCCAACCUCAUGCGACGACGGUAAAAAAAACACAGACAUCAUCAUACAGUACAAUAAGUCUUACUGUUCAUCUGCUGAGGGAUUCACGCUAAAUUUUGCCCUUGUCACCAAUUAGGAGCAGAUAAUUCAUCCUCUACUAGUUCAGGGACUCCUGAAGGCUCGAUUUCCAGUAGAUCUCAGCGGUACGUGAGUAUUCCAGAGUGCUCGAAAACAUCCGACUACAUCAAUGUUUCAGAAGGGGUUUCCUCUGGACGAGUGGACUUUAAGAAUAAAACAACACGCAUAGACUAUGUGAACAAUAAAGAGUCCCAAAGGAAGAAGGUCAGUGGAAAAGGUCAAGCGAGAUGUGCUGACGCUACAAGCGUUAGCAGCGACGCGAGUGACGAGUCUGCUGUCAAUUACUCCAAGGUUGUUUUUACCAAAGCGAAGAAGUAACAUGUCAUUGGUAGCUUUUGUAAAAAUGGAUCAUUUAGCUUGAAAUGAAAAUUCUGUCAUCAUUUAUUCACAUGUAUGUUAUUAUAAAAGCUGUAUGGCUUG